GACGAACGCUGGCGGCGUGCUUAACACAUGCAAGUCAAACGGAAAGGCCCUGCUUUUGUGGGGUGCUCGAGUGGCGAACGGGUGAGUAACACGUGAGUAACCUGCCCUUGACUUUGGGAUAACUUCAGGAAACUGGGGCUAAUACCGGAUAGGAGCUCCUGCUGCAUGGUGGGGGUUGGAAAGUUUCGGCGGUUGGGGAUGGACUCGCGGCUUAUCAGCUUGUUGGUGGGGUAGUGGCUUACCAAGGCUUUGACGGGUAGCCGGCCUGAGAGGGUGACCGGCCACAUUGGGACUGAGAUACGGCACAGACUCCUACGGGCGGCAGCAGUGGGGAAUAUUGCACAAUGGGCGGAAGCCUGAUGCAGCAACGCCGCGUGCGGGAUGACGGCCUUCGGGUUGUAAACCGCUUUCGCCUGUGACGAAGCGUGAGUGACGGUAAUGGGUAAAGAAGCACCGGCUAACUACGUG
This 468-nucleotide ribosomal RNA is filed under the name uncultured bacterium. RNAcentral describes it as "partial 16S ribosomal RNA". It matches the Rfam family "Bacterial small subunit ribosomal RNA", at positions 28 to 507 of the family's 1533-position model. The record is from RNAcentral.